UACAGAGGGUGCGAGCGUUAAUCGGAAUUACUGGGCGUAAAGCGCGCGUAGGCGGCUUUGCAAGUCGGGUGUGAAAUCCCCAGGCUUAACCUGGGAACUGCAUUCGAGACUGCAUUGCUAGAGUAUGGGAGAGGGAAGUGGAAUUUCCGGUGUAGCGGUGAAAUGCGUAGAUAUCAGGAAGAACACCCGUGGCUAAGGCGGCUCUCUAGUACGGUACUGACGCUGAGACGCGAAAGCGUGGGGAGCGAACAGG
Molecule: ribosomal RNA, 253 nt
Filed under: uncultured bacterium
Lineage: Bacteria
Description: partial 16S ribosomal RNA
Rfam family: Bacterial small subunit ribosomal RNA
Source: RNAcentral